CUGUGAGUUGUAUAUGUUUUGUU
This 23-nucleotide small nuclear RNA is filed under the name Arabidopsis thaliana (thale cress). Its description in RNAcentral is "snRNA_09880". Lineage: Eukaryota; Viridiplantae; Streptophyta; Magnoliopsida; Brassicales; Brassicaceae. The record is from RNAcentral.